Molecule: ribosomal RNA, 229 nt
Filed under: uncultured bacterium
Lineage: Bacteria
Description: partial 16S ribosomal RNA
Rfam family: Bacterial small subunit ribosomal RNA
Source: RNAcentral
UACGUAGGCGGAAAAAUAAGUCAGUGGUGAAAUCCUGCAGCUCAACUGUAGAACUGCCAUUGAAACUAUUUUUCUUGAGUAUAGUUGAGGUGGGCGGAAUGUGUCAUGUAGCGGUGAAAUGCUUAGAUAUGACACAGAACACCGAUUGCGUAGGCAGCUCACUAAACUAUUACUGACGCUGGGGUACGAAAGCGUUGGGAGCGAACAGGAUUAGAUACCCUGGUAGUCC